Molecule: non-coding RNA, 148 nt
Organism: Caenorhabditis elegans
Lineage: Eukaryota; Metazoa; Nematoda; Chromadorea; Rhabditida; Rhabditidae
Source: Ensembl
AAUCUGAUUAGAGCCGUCUCAGUGUUAAUCUAAUCCGGUCAUGGGUAGAUGGUAGGUAGAUCAAACAAAGCUUCUUCCGAUAUGCGCGCGCGGGGCGUUUUGAUCUAAACACUACUCAUAACAAGAUUAACAAGGAAAAUGAGAAGGA